AUUGAACGCUGGCGGCAGGCCUAACACAUGCAAGUCGAGCGAGCGGCGGACGGGUGAGUAAUGUAUGGGAAUCUGCCUGAUGGAGGGGGAUAACUACUGGAAACGGUAGCUAAUACCGCAUACCAUCAGAUGAACCCAGAUGGGAUUAGCUUGUAGGUGGGGUAACGGCUCACCAAGGCGACGAUCCCUAGCUGGUCUGAGAGGAUGACAAGCCACACUGGGACUGAGACACGGUCCAGACUCCUACGGGAGGCAGCAGUGGGGAAUAUUGCACAAUGGGCGAAAGCCUGAUGCAGCCAUGCCGCGUGUAUGAAGAAGGCCUGCGGGUUGUAAAGUACUUUCAGCGGGGAGGCGUUACCGACAGAAGAAGCACCGGCUAACUCCGUGCCAGCAGCCGCGGUAAUAC
RNAcentral lists this ribosomal RNA (406 nucleotides) under uncultured bacterium. RNAcentral describes it as "partial 16S ribosomal RNA". It matches the Rfam family "Bacterial small subunit ribosomal RNA", at positions 30 to 526 of the family's 1533-position model. The record is from RNAcentral.